This 354-nucleotide ribosomal RNA is filed under the name uncultured bacterium. RNAcentral's name for it is "bacterial SSU rRNA". It matches the Rfam family "Bacterial small subunit ribosomal RNA", at positions 568 to 898 of the family's 1533-position model. The record is from RNAcentral.
UCCGCAGGCGGGCAAGCAAGUCGGUGGUGAAAUCUCACGGCUUAACCGUGAAACUGCCUCCGAUACUGUUUGUCUUGAGUUCGAGAGAGGGUAAUGGAAUUCAUGGUGUAGCGGUGAAAUGCGUAGAGAUCAUGAAGAACACCAGUAGCGAAGGCGGUUACCUGGCUCGAUACUGACGCUCAGGGACGAAAGCGUGGGGAGCAAACAGGAUUAGAUACCCUGGUAGUCCACGCCUUAAACGAUGGAUGUUCGGUGUCGGUCCCGCUGAGUAUUUGUACGCAAGUACCCAGCGGGACCGGUGCCUGAGCUAACGCGUUAAACAUCCCACCUGGGGAGUACGAUCGCAAGGUUGAA